This 254-nucleotide ribosomal RNA is filed under the name uncultured bacterium. Its description in RNAcentral is "partial 16S ribosomal RNA". It matches the Rfam family "Bacterial small subunit ribosomal RNA", at positions 524 to 776 of the family's 1533-position model. The record is from RNAcentral.
UACGGAGGGUGCAAGCGUUAUCCGGAUUUACUGGGUUUAAAGGGUGUGUAGGCGGACUUUUAAGUCUGGGGUGAAAUCUCCGAGCUCAACUCGGAAACUGCCUUGGAUACUAUUAGUCUUGAAUUUAUGUUGAGGUUGGCGGAAUAUACAUGUAGCGGUGAAAUGCAUAGAUAUGUUAUAGAACACCGAUUGCGAAGGCAGCUAACUAAGCAUAUAUUUGACGCUGAGGCACGAAAGCGUGGGGAUCAAACAGG